This 65-nucleotide transfer RNA is filed under the name Capsala katsuwoni. RNAcentral describes it as "tRNA-Thr". Lineage: Eukaryota; Metazoa; Platyhelminthes; Monogenea; Capsalidea; Capsalidae. The record is from RNAcentral.
GUAUGAAUAGUUUAAUAAAAAUUAUGCUUUUGUAAAGCAUUGAUGGCCCUUUGGGCCUUUAUACA